Molecule: long non-coding RNA, 562 nt
Organism: Carassius auratus (goldfish)
Lineage: Eukaryota; Metazoa; Chordata; Actinopteri; Cypriniformes; Cyprinidae
Exons: 3
Source: RefSeq, a predicted model, not a curated record
CAAAGGACGUAGAAUAUAUCAGCUCUGGAGGUAGGCUGUGCUCAUCUGUCCUCUCAGUCACUAUUUUCAAUUUAAAUAUCUCAUAUUAACCACAGAUCACAAAUGUGUUUAUUUUAUUAUUAUUUUUUUUAAUAGACACAACAAAUGGAAUCAAAUAUGCUGCCAUCUGCUGGGGAAAUAUUUGUACAUGCACAUUCAUAAAUACCAUAGAGUAGACAAUAGCCUACCAUAGACAGCGGACAAUACGAGUAGCAUCUUCCUGCAAAACCGGAGGCUGCAUUUUCAGGACCGCAAACCUAGGACCGUAUUUCUAGGACCCUAGGUUUUUAGUGACAACGAUGCCUACUAGAUCUUGCUCAGAAAAUCGAUCCUGGCAGCUGGACUGAGAAGACUGGGCAAGAUAUUGUGGGCUUGCCUCGCCAGAUCUGUGGAAACGACUGGGAUUUUUAUACUUAUGUUAAAGUGGCCUCUGUUUUUACACAAUGUCCAAUCUAUCCUGUUUUUAAGCGUUAUAACUAGGGCCGGGACUCGAUUAAAAAAAUUAAUCUAAUUAAUUAGAGGC